CCACUGGGAGUGUGAGAGUUAUGACAUCUUAAGGGAUGUCCAAAUCACUGCAGUUUUGACAGCCAUCAUGAUUUAAAAUGGCAUCCAACUGUAGUCAAACCAAAACCUACUCCUCAGUCUCAGGAACCAUCAGACAAAAUUUGGUGAUGAUGUCUUAAGAGGUGUCCAAACGCUGAUAAAGGUUUAGUACAACCUUUUAAAAAGGCAUCCAAUUGUAGGCAAACAGAGAUGAAAAUAUUCUCCUUGAUUUCAGGAACCAUUGCAUCAAAUUCUGUGGCAAUCUGUUGAAAGCCAUCUGAAUGCAUAGAUGGAGAGGCAAAAAACUUUCCAAAAUAUAGAUUCAAUGACGAUGGUGGCUAAUUCCUUCUUAUGACUAGGAAAGGUUAAAAGUCUUAAAUAGAAAGCUAGGUGCAUUUUUACAUAAACAGUAUAUUUGCAAUUUGCAAAUCAUAGUAUAGCCAAAUGUAUGUUGGAUAUCUAAGGGACACCUACAUGUCAUCUUUAAAAGGUGGAGAAUACUGUUCAGGUAGCAGUCUGUGUCUUUAUGGCACUUUAUUUCCACACCACCUGCUGCAAUUAGACAAAAUUACUAAGUGGCUAGAAUGGUAACUUUAUCUAUCAGCUGAUAUUAUAAUUAAUGACUAUGGAGCUCCUAUUAUUGUGUACUUCCAAGACAUCAAGUGGAAAGCUGUUGUCAUGCUUUAAAUAAUGAAAAAGUUUCAGGUCUUGAUAAAUGGCUCAGUUGGAUGCAGUUUAGAAAGUUGAGAGCAUAUGCUUCUGUCAUUAGGAACUAAGGAUUAGUUACCCUUCAUACGACUCUUCAGAUCUCUCUAAUUCUUUUAGGUAUUGUUCAAAAUGCGAAAGUAUAAUAAGAAAAUGGUGUGUGGAAAAUUCAGUAGAUGACUGCUAUCAUUUAUUACCAUUUUUAAAGCAACUAGAAGAAAUAUUGUAAAAGUUGUAAUCUUUUGUUUAGAUGGCAGCUGUUAUUUCUGCUUCUGCUUCCUUUUCUUUAGCAAUCUUUUUUUUAAAAAAAGUGUCCAAUAAUUUAAUAAAACAAACUAAAAUUGCAAUUUUUGAAGUAAUAUAAUGACAAAAAAAUGAAAUGAUGCUGUGACUGUGUGCUUUUCCAUCUUGAUUUUUUUGCAUUUCUGAAGGUCUGCUUUUGUCUCCGUAAAUGUCUAGCACUGGAGCAAUUUGCAUUAUUUGGGGGUGUAAAUGUUUUCCAGAUUUGUCUAAUUUUGUUAGACUGCUUUGUGUCAUCUGAGAAUCACUAAUUAUUCACAGCAUACUACUUCCCUACUUCUGUUAGCAAGGUGUCUCUACUUCUGUUAAGCAAUACUAAUAUGGGUAUUGAGGUGAAAAAACAACAUUGCUAAUUCUUCUGGUUAUCAUCCCACCCCUCUUAACCUUGUAAUGGAGGUAAGUUAUUUUACAUUUCCCACCAAUCCCUACAUACCUCCUAUUUUUAAUAAAGCAAAUUGCGUGCCCUUUCAAACAUUUUUUUGCACUUUCCAUGCCCAAGAGAUGAAAAAUUCAGAGUGGUCUUAUGUCAAAAAAGAAAAGUGGAGAAUAAUAAAAAACAAAACAAAACAGCUUUUCAGUAGGUGCUGGAGGUCCUGUAGGGAUGGGGCCUGUCUGACCUCAAGAGGAAAUGUGUUCCGUAAACUUGGGCCCAAAAUACUAAAUACAUGACUGUGAGUUGUGCAUCCUAGCCAUGGGGAACCACUAACAGUGACACCCUCAAAGGUCUCAGUGAUGGGGCAGGGAUACAAGGGAUUGUACUGCCCUUGAUUUAUCUUAGAUCCAAAUUGUUAAGUGUCUUGUAAAGUAAUACAAGAAUCUUGAACCUGACCCGGUAGUGUAUGGGCAUCUAGUACAAACUUUUGAGCACUGGAAUUAUGUACUGCUUGUAGUCUGUCCCUAUCAAAAUUCUAGCCACAACAUUUUUCAUCAGCAGGAGCCCCUAGACCAGGGCCAAAGAUAGCUCCACAUAGAGCACAUUGCAAUAAUUGAGUCUUGAGGUUAUCAAUGCAUAGAUCACUAUGGCCAGGCUAUCCCUGCCCAAGAACAGCCGGGCUGGUAAAAGGCACUCCUAGCCAAUGAGCUUCCAUUGACAAAGGUGAAUCCAGGAACACCCCCAAACUUCAAACUUAUUUUUCCAGAGAGAGUUCAACCCCAUCCAGAACUGACAACUGGCCGAUCUCUCAGGUAUAGGAACCACCAAGGUAGUACCACAUUCAUAGCUAUGUUAAGUCCAGGCUGCAAAAAUGUGAAACCAGCCCAGUUCAAAAUGCUGCUUUCAGCUCUUCUUAUUCACAUUUAAAAAAUCCAAUACAAACUAAUCUGAUCUGCCUGAUCAGCUUGAUAAUAGGUGAAUAUUUGGGAAAGGUUCAGAAAUGAUCCAAAAUGAUAAUGGGGCUUAAAGGACACCCCUAUGUGGAAAGGUAUGCAGGCUUUCCACAGACACCUUGUUGACCACUGUGAGAAUAGGACACAGAACCUGAUUGGCCUUUGGUCUUAUCCAGCAGGCUUUUCUUAUGUUUGUACUCAACUGCAGCUGCUGAUAUAACACUUGGUCAAACAAUUUGUCAAACAAAUAUAUUUCCCAAAUAGCCUGGAAAACAAGUACCCUUCUUUCCUUUGAAAUGUAUGAAUGAUAGGAUAUUGUGCUGGAUAUCAGUAUAGCAGAAUAGGGUAAGCAGGGAAGCUAACAUGGUGCACCUUCAGAUGUUAUACUACAUUCCUGACCACUGACCAUAAUUGUGGAACUACUGGAGGGCUAUCCCUGGACUAUUAGUGAUGCAUCAUAGUGGAUGGGGAGUGGGCAUUGAUAUUUUGUGUGAGAAUACCUAUUUUUCAUCUGUGAAAUGUUGGAGAAUACCCUACGUGGGCAAACUAUUGUAUGUGUUGGUAUGAGCAGGUGCCCAGCUGUUUGUCAUUUUCUACUGCUCCACACCCUCUUAGUGUUUAAAUAAAAUAUUUAGCCUUUGUAUGAAAUCUUAAAUUGCUUUGCGAUUAUCUUGGACACUCAAAAACAAGACCCACUUGAAAGCCAAAUCCAAGCAUAGAUAUUCCGUGGCACGUCUUACAAUCUAAAUAUUGCUCUUAGCCUAAUCGAAGCAGCAAGAGUAGUCACAGCAGUUGAUGGACUAUUUUUCAAAUUGAUUUCAAAAAUGUAUUUAAGGGGAUGAUCUUCUACUCUAGAUUACCUAUUGAUUUUUAAUAUGAAAAGCUCAUUAUAUAAGCAGUAACUGCAUAUAAAAACCUAGCAAACCUUUGCAUAAAUCCUUUAAUUGAAUUUCCAGAGCCUGUGGUUCUACUUUUUUUUUUUAAUUAAAUCUAUUUCUUUUUUUAAGUGUUACUGUGUAAUUUGCAUGCUGUGAAGUGGCCCUGUCCCAGAUAAAGUGCCAUUGAUCCUUAUUAAACCUCACCUCUGGGCUUGCUGAAAACUAACCGGAAAAAUUAAAGUGUUCAUGCUGCAAUGCACUUACUGCUUGUGUGAUAGGAUUAUGGAAAAAAUAAUAAAACUAAUUUCCAAGACAGAAUUUAUAAUGCAAGAUUUUAUUUUUUUAUUUUUUUCAGUUUGAUAAGUAAUAGCAAAAUCCUAUCCAAAUAUAAAUCAUAUUUUAGCUAGCAACUGCAGCAGUAAUUUGGAAAGAUAAUGUAUAUUUGAUAUAAUGUCAUCAUGUAUGUGGCUAAUCUUUUGUGUUUUAAUUUUUUAAACUGUAAAUUGAACUGAUGAUGGCUUCAGCUAAACAGAUUAAACAGAGAUUGGAACUAAAAGCUGUCUCUUAUGGUGUACAAUAUCUUACAUUAGUAGCAAUUUCCAUUUUAUUACUUUGUUAUAUAUAUAUAUUUACAAAUUUUGUGUUAACGAUUUAUGGAUUGCAAUUACCAUGAGAGAGGGGGGUGGGAAUGCAACUGGGUAUUUUUAUCUCUCUUUGUCCUCCCCACCUCAUUUUUAUGUAAUACAAAACAUUUGUUAUUUUAGAAGCAAUAAAAUCCCCUAAAGAAAUAUUCAUAAUCAAUAAGAACACAAAAUAUGGAAUAUAUUAACUGAGUUAUAAAAAUGUUUGUAGUACGGCACAAAAUGAAAAACACAGCAAGUUAUGUACAGUUUAAAGUGUAAUCAAUUUUAAAGUUGCAUAUGAGGAUAUAAAUGAUAAACAGAAGUAGUAGCAUUUUUAGUAAAGGCUGUAACAAAAAUAAUAUAUUUAUGGCCUACUCCGUUCUUUUUAUAGCUCAUUAAUGUAGAAAACAAACACUGUGUAUCCAUCUUUUUGAACAGCUUAAAAUUCCCUUAAAUGAUAAUUUUUAAAAUGGAAGCAGUGUGAUCAUUUCGCAAGCCUCUCUCUUCAAACACAUUUUAUUACAUAGGAUAGGAUAGCCAGUUUACAUCAGCAUCAAAACCAUGUCCAGAAUUAUGUCAUAUCCUUGAAAAGCCCUAAAAAAACCUUCAAAAACUAUAAUUGUUAUAGGCGUUGAUGCGAGUGUUUGUCAGAAAACCACUUAGAUUGCUUUAAAUUUAAAACUUCUAUUAAAGUGAGAUUUAAGUUCUUUUCUAUUACUCAUAUUUUAUUAAAUUUUGCUUUUGCUUUUGCUUUUGCUUUGUUUAUAUCAAUACACAACACUCCCCUCCGCUGCUUCAGAAUGGGGAGGAAUGGGUUGUAUUGGUAUGUUCUCUCUGUGUUUCUGGAGGUGAGAAGUUCAAUAGACAGCCUAUCCUAGGGUUUGGCUUCCUUUAGAAUAUUACCAUACUGUUAAUAUUUGAGUUUAUUUUAAAAAUUACAAGUAGAGCAUAAGUAGAGGCAAACAUCUUGAGAUAUCCUACAGGGUGCCUCCCAGCCUCCAGCACACUGCUUUGCUUUAUCUGUGUGUCAAGGUAGAGUCUUUCUCACUGUCCUCAAAAGUGUUUCCUUUCUCUUUUCAAAAAAUGCUUACCUUCUUCCACUAGACUGGCAAAAAAGCACAUCACCAAAAUAAGAGCAAAUAGAUUACCGAAGAAAGAGGACAAAAAGAGAGUAUGGAUUUGUGAGGAAUUUGCAUGUGCUACUUUUUAUGCACAGUAAAUCUACAUAUGUAGAAAUAUAAGCCUGGAUUCUAAGCACUCCUUCCAUUGGCAGAGGGAACCAGGAUCAAAAAGUAAAGUUCCUGACACCCACAAAAGUUUUCUUUAGGAAGACCCCCAAAAUUGUUGAGCCUACCCCAAAAAUAAUGAUUUUAAGCUUUUGGAGCUGUUUCCAUUGUGUUGCCGAUUUGGCAAUAUUUCCCCUUGAUGCCAUUUCUACACCUGAAAACCAGGACAUGUCAGGAAAAUUCCUAGCCAUGACAAGCCUAGCCAUAUUAGGUGUGCUAGGCAGAGGCAAAGCAGGUGUUGAGCAGUUCUGCCUUAUCUCUGUCACCCAGUAGCAUCAGGUAAGUAGCUGUGUUGGUCUGACGCAGUCU
This 5445-nucleotide long non-coding RNA is filed under the name Podarcis lilfordi (Lilford's wall lizard). The record is from RNAcentral. Lineage: Eukaryota; Metazoa; Chordata; Lepidosauria; Squamata; Lacertidae.